GUGAGGAAUAUUGGUCAAUGGGCGGGAGCCUGAACCAGCCAUCCCGCGUGGAGGAAGACGGCCCUAUGGGUUGUAAACUUCUUUUCAAGGGGAAGAAAGUUCGCGACGUGUCGCGAUUUGCCGGUACCUUUGGAAUAAGCAUCGGCUAACUCCGUGCCAGCAGCCGCGGUAAUACGGAGGAUGCGAGCGUUAUCCGGAUUUAUUGGGUUUAAAGGGUGCGUAGGCCGAUCGAUAAGUCAGCGCUGAAAUACCAUGGCCCAACCAUGGAACUGCCGUUGAUAAUGUCGGUCUUGAAUAUGGGCAAGGUAGGCGGAAUGUGUAAUGUAGCGGUGAAAUGCUUAGAGAUUACACAGAACACCGAUUGCGAAGGCAGCUUACUGGUCCAUUAUUGACGCUGAGGCACGAAAGCGUGGGGAUCGAACAGGAUUAGAUAUCCGUGUAGUCC
Molecule: ribosomal RNA, 445 nt
Filed under: uncultured bacterium
Lineage: Bacteria
Description: partial 16S ribosomal RNA
Rfam family: Bacterial small subunit ribosomal RNA
Source: RNAcentral